Molecule: ribosomal RNA, 468 nt
Filed under: uncultured bacterium
Lineage: Bacteria
Description: partial 16S ribosomal RNA
Rfam family: Bacterial small subunit ribosomal RNA
Source: RNAcentral
GACGAACGCUGGCGGCGUGCUUAACACAUGCAAGUCGAACGGAAAGGCCCUGCUUUUGUGGGGUGCUCGAGUGGCGAACGGGUGAGUAACACGUGAGUAACCUGCCCUUGACUUUGGGAUAACUUCAGGAAACUGGGGCUAAUACCGGAUAGGAGCUCCUGCUGCACGGUGGGGGUUGGAAAGUUUCGGCGGUUGGGGAUGGACUCGCGGGUUAUCAGCUUGUUGGUGGGGUAGUGGCUUACCAAGGCUUGGACGGGUAGCCGGCCUGAGAGGGUGACCGGCCACAUUGGGACUGAGAUGCGGCCCAGGCUCCUACGGGAGGCAGCAGUGGGGAAUAUUGCACAAUGGGCGGAGGCCUGAUGCAGCAACGCCGCGUGCGGUAUGACGGCCUUCGGGUUGUAAACCGCUUGCGCCUGUGACGAAGCGUGAGUGACGGUAAUGGGUAAAGAAGCACCGGCUAACUACGUG